UCGAACGAUGAAGCCUUUCGGGGUGGAUUAGUGGCGAACGGGUGAGUAACACGUGGGCAAUCUGCCCUUCACUCUGGGACAAGCCCUGGAAACGGGGUCUAAUACCGGAUAACACUUUCCCUCUCAUGGGGGAAGGUUAAAAGCUCCGGCGGUGAAGGAUGAGCCCGCGGCCUAUCAGCUAGUUGGUGGGGUAAUGGCCUACCAAGGCGACGACGGGUAGCCGGCCUGAGAGGGCGACCGGCCACACUGGGACUGAGACACGGCCCAGACUCCUACGGGAGGCAGCAGUGGGGAAUAUUGCACAAUGGGCGAAAGCCUGAUGCAGCGACGCCGCGUGAGGGAUGACGGCCUUCGGGUUGUAAACCUCUUUCAGCAGGGAAGAAGCGAAAGUGACGGUACCUGCAGAAGAAGCGCCGGCUAACUACGUGCCAGCAGCCGCGGUAAUACGUAGGGCGCAAGCGUUGUCCGGAAUUAUUGGGCGUAAAGAGCUCGUAGGCGGCUUGUUGCGUCGGUUGUGAAAGCCCGGGGCUUAACCCCGGGUCUGCAGUCGAUACGGGCAGGCUAGAGUGUGGUAGGGGAGAUCGGAAUUCCUGGUGUAGCGGUGAAAUGCGCAGAUAUCAGGAGGAACACCGGUGGCGAAGGCGGAUCUCUGGGCCAUUACUGACGCUGAGGAGCGAAAGCGUGGGGAGCGAACAGGAU
RNAcentral lists this ribosomal RNA (699 nucleotides) under Streptomyces sp. ZA-494. RNAcentral's name for it is "bacterial SSU rRNA". It matches the Rfam family "Bacterial small subunit ribosomal RNA", at positions 62 to 778 of the family's 1533-position model. The record is from RNAcentral. RNAcentral also lists the same sequence under 1 other name. Lineage: Bacteria; Bacillati; Actinomycetota; Actinomycetes; Kitasatosporales; Streptomycetaceae.